This is a transfer RNA of Candidatus Profftella armatura, 73 nucleotides long. It matches the Rfam family "tRNA". From Rfam's summary of the family: Transfer RNA (tRNA) molecules are approximately 80 nucleotides in length. Their secondary structure includes four short double-helical elements and three loops (D, anti-codon, and T loops). The record is from Rfam. NCBI's taxonomy places the organism in Bacteria, Pseudomonadati, Pseudomonadota, Betaproteobacteria.
UCCCUGAUAGCUCAGUUGGUAGAGCGACGGACUGUUAAUCCGCAGGUCCCUGGUUCGAGCCCAGGUCAGGGAG